GCUUGCUUAAUAAACUUUGAAACAGAAACAAUUUCCCAAAUUCAAAAUUAAGAUAAACCUAGAUAUGUAUUUGUGUCUGUGUGAAAGAAAUGUAAAUCCAUAAAGAUUAAAUCCUAGUUCAUCCUCAGGCCGUAGAAAAACACACUGAAGUCAUGACUACGUAGCUUGAGCAAACAAAAACAUCCACACAAGAGUGCUACUCGCGAAAGCUGGUAUAAUCAAAUGUUUGUCAAUUUGGGGUGGAGAAGCAUUAGUUUUGUCUGAUGAAGAAGGUGCUGGAGAAGCUGGCAAAGGUUGUUCAACAUUUAUAGCUAAUUUCAUUCCAUGGAAGCAGUAACCUCCACUGCUGAUAAAGUAAUAAGGCCUUGCUUGAGUUAGAUGAAAAACAUCUCUCCCACCCCUUGUAAUGUUUGAUAUAAAAUCGCUAUCAAUACACUGCUCAUAGUUCGUCUGGUUCACCUCCAGCACGCUGUAAUAGUGCUUGUCAAACACAAAAUAAAGCCAAUCGCCAACGUAAAAAUGUUGAUGAGAAGCCCAAUCAGUAUAGUUAACAUUCUGGUCCCAGCCAUGCUUACCGCCCACCUUGUCAAGUCCACUGGCUGCACAUUUCAUCAAUCCUAACAACAUCAUCGACCUUAUCAUCAUUAGAUCAAACCUCAUUUUGCACUAAUCAAGUUGGAAUUUGCUUAAGAAAAUGUAUUAGCAAUACAAUUACUACAAAUUCAAAAGAAA
Molecule: unclassified non-coding RNA, 732 nt
Filed under: Hevea brasiliensis (rubber tree)
Lineage: Eukaryota; Viridiplantae; Streptophyta; Magnoliopsida; Malpighiales; Euphorbiaceae
Source: RNAcentral